UUUGGUUAAGUUAGAAAGGGCGCACGGUGGAUGCCUUGACACUAGGAGUCGAUGAAGGACGGGACUAACGCCGAUAUGCUUCGGGGAGCUGUAAGUAAGCUUUGAUCCGAAGAUUUCCGAAUGGGGAAACCCACCAUACGUAAUGGUAUGGUAUCCUUAUCUGAAUACAUAGGGUAAGGAAGACAGACCCAGGGAACUGAAACAUCUAAGUACCUGGAGGAAGAGAAAGCAAAUGCGAUUUCCUGAGUAGCGGCGAGCGAAACGGAACAUAGCCCAAACCAAGAGGCUUGCCUCUUGGGGUUGUAGGACAUUCUAUACGGAGUUACAAAGGAACGAGGUAGACGAAGCGACCUGGAAAGGUCCGUCGUAGAGGGUAACAACCCCGUAGUCGAAACUUCGUUCUCUCUUGAAUGUAUCCUGAGUACGGCGGAACACGUGAAAUUCCGUCGGAAUCUGGGAGGACCAUCUCCCAAGGCUAAAUACUCCCUAGUGAUCGAUAGUGAACCAGUACCGUGAGGGAAAGGUGAAAAGCACCCCGGAAGGGGAGUGAAAGAGAUCCUGAAACCGUGUGCCUACAAAUAGUCAGAGCCCGUUAACGGGUGAUGGCGUGCCUUUUGUAGAAUGAACCGGCGAGUUACGAUCCCGUGCGAGGUUAAGCUGAAGAGGCGGAGCCGCAGCGAAAGCGAGUCUGAAUAGGGCGUUUAGUACGUGGUCGUAGACCCGAAACCAGGUGAUCUACCCAUGUCCAGGGUGAAGUUCAGGUAACACUGAAUGGAGGCCCGAACCCACGCACGUUGAAAAGUGCGGGGAUGAGGUGUGGGUAGUGGAGAAAUUCCAAUCGAACCUGGAGAUAGCUGGUUCUCCCCGAAAUAGCUUUAGGGCUAGCCUUAAGUGUAAGAGUCUUGGAGGUAGAGCACUGAUUGGACUAGGGGUCCUCAUCGGAUUACCGAAUUCAGUCAAACUCCGAAUGCCAAUGACUUAUCCUUAGGAGUCAGACUGCGAGUGAUAAGAUCCGUAGUCAAAAGGGAAACAGCCCAGACCGCCAGCUAAGGUCCCAAAGUGUGUAUUAAGUGGAAAAGGAUGUGGAGUUGCUUAGACAACUAGGAUGUUGGCUUAGAAGCAGCCACCAUUUAAAGAGUGCGUAAUAGCUCACUAGUCGAGUGACUCUGCGCCGAAAAUGUACCGGGGCUAAAUACACCACCGAAGCUGCGGAUUGAUACCGAAUGGUAUCAGUGGUAGGGGAGCGUUCUAAGGACAGUGAAGUCAGACCGGAAGGACUGGUGGAGUGCUUAGAAGUGAGAAUGCCGGUAUGAGUAGCGAAAGACGGGUGAGAAUCCCGUCCACCGAAUGCCUAAGGUUUCCUGAGGAAGGCUCGUCCGCUCAGGGUUAGUCAGGACCUAAGCCGAGGCCGACAGGCGUAGGCGAUGGACAACAGGUUGAUAUUCCUGUACCACCUCUUUAUCGUUUGAGCAAUGGAGGGACGCAGAAGGAUAGAAGAAGCGUGCGAUUGGUUGUGCACGUCCAAGCAGUUAGGCUGAUAAGUAGGCAAAUCCGCUUAUCGUAAAGGCUGAGCUGUGAUGGGGAAGCUCCUUAUGGAGCGAAGUCUUUGAUUCCCCGCUGCCAAGAAAAGCUUCUAGCGAGAUAAAAGGUGCCUGUACCGCAAACCGACACAGGUAGGCGAGGAGAGAAUCCUAAGGUGUGCGAGAGAACUCUGGUUAAGGAACUCGGCAAAAUGACCCCGUAACUUCGGGAGAAGGGGUGCUUUCUUAACGGAAAGCCGCAGUGAAUAGGCCCAAGCGACUGUUUAGCAAAAACACAGCUCUCUGCGAAGCCGUAAGGCGAAGUAUAGGGGGUGACACCUGCCCGGUGCUGGAAGGUUAAGGAGAGGGGUUAGCGUAAGCGAAGCUCUGAACUGAAGCCCCAGUAAACGGCGGCCGUAACUAUAACGGUCCUAAGGUAGCGAAAUUCCUUGUCGGGUAAGUUCCGACCCGCACGAAAGGUGUAACGAUUUGGGCACUGUCUCAACCAGAGACUCGGUGAAAUUAUAGUACCUGUGAAGAUGCAGGUUACCCGCGACAGGACGGAAAGACCCCGUGGAGCUUUACUGUAGCCUGAUAUUGAAUUUUGGUACAGUUUGUACAGGAUAGGCGGGAGCCUUUGAAACCGGAGCGCUAGCUUCGGUGGAGGCGCUGGUGGGAUACCGCCCUGACUGUAUUGAAAUUCUAACCUACGGGUCUUAUCGACCCGGGAGACAGUGUCAGGUGGGCAGUUUGACUGGGGCGGUCGCCUCCUAAAAUGUAACGGAGGCGCCCAAAGGUUCCCUCAGAAUGGUUGGAAAUCAUUCGUAGAGUGCAAAGGCAUAAGGGAGCUUGACUGCGAGACCUACAAGUCGAGCAGGGACGAAAGUCGGGCUUAGUGAUCCGGUGGUUCCGCAUGGAAGGGCCAUCGCUCAACGGAUAAAAGCUACCCCGGGAUAACAGGCUUAUCUCCCCCAAGAGUCCACAUCGACGGGGAGGUUUGGCACCUCGAUGUCGGCUCAUCGCAUCCUGGGGCUGUAGUCGGUCCCAAGGGUUGGGCUGUUCGCCCAUUAAAGCGGUACGCGAGCUGGGUUCAGAACGUCGUGAGACAGUUCGGUCCCUAUCCGUCGUGGGCGUAGGAAAUUUGAGAGGAGCUGUCCUUAGUACGAGAGGACCGGGAUGGACGCACCGCUGGUGUACCAGUUGUUCUGCCAAGGGCAUAGCUGGGUAGCUAUGUGCGGAAGGGAUAAGUGCUGAAAGCAUCUAAGCAUGAAGCCCCCCUCAAGAUGAGAUUUCCCAUAGCGUAAGCUAGUAAGAUCCCUGAAAGAUGAUCAGGUUGAUAGGUUCGAGGUGGAAGCAUGGUGACAUGUGGAGCUGACGAAUACUAAUAGAUCGAGGACUUAACCAUAUAA
RNAcentral lists this ribosomal RNA (2929 nucleotides) under Bacillus paranthracis. RNAcentral describes it as "23S ribosomal RNA". It matches the Rfam family "Bacterial large subunit ribosomal RNA". Lineage: Bacteria; Bacillati; Bacillota; Bacilli; Caryophanales; Bacillaceae. The record is from RNAcentral.